RNAcentral lists this ribosomal RNA (489 nucleotides) under uncultured bacterium. RNAcentral's name for it is "partial 16S ribosomal RNA". It matches the Rfam family "Bacterial small subunit ribosomal RNA", at positions 30 to 506 of the family's 1533-position model. The record is from RNAcentral.
AUUGAACGCUGGCGGCAUGCCUUACACAUGCAAGUCGAACGGCAGCAUGAUCUAGCUUGCUAGAUUGAUGGCGAGUGGCGAACGGGUGAGUAAUACAUCGGAACGUGCCCUGUAGUGGGGGAUAACUAGUCGAAAGAUUAGCUAAUACCGCAUACGACCUGAGGGUGAAAGUGGGGGACCGCAAGGCCUCAUGCUAUAGGAGCGGCCGAUGUCUGAUUAGCUAGUUGGUGAGGUAAAGGCUCACCAAGGCGACGAUCAGUAGCUGGUCUGAGAGGACGAUCAGCCACACUGGGACUGAGACACGGCUCAGACCCCUACGGGAGGCAGCAGUGGGGAAUUUUGGACAAUGGGCGAAAGCCUGAUCUAGCAAUGCCGCGUGUGUGAAGAAGGCCUUCGGGUUGUAAAGCACUUUUGUCCGGAAAGAAAUGGCUCUGGUUAAUACCUGGGGUCGAUGACGGUACCGGAAGAAUAAGGACCGGCUAACUACGU